RNAcentral lists this ribosomal RNA (492 nucleotides) under uncultured bacterium. RNAcentral describes it as "partial 16S ribosomal RNA". It matches the Rfam family "Bacterial small subunit ribosomal RNA", at positions 29 to 507 of the family's 1533-position model. The record is from RNAcentral.
AGUGAACGCUGGCGGUAGGCCUAACACAUGCAAGUCGAACGGCAGCACAGUAAGUGCUUGCUCUUACGGGUGGCGAGUGGCGGACGGGUGAGGAAUACAUCGGAAUCUACUUUUACGUGGGGGAUAACGUAGGGAAACUUACGAUAAUACCGCAUACGACCUACGGGUGUAAGCAGGGGAUCUUCGGGCCUUGCGCGAUUGUAAGAGCCGAGGUGGGUUUAGCUAGUUGGCUGGGUAAAGGCCCAGCAAGGCGACGCUCCGUAGCGGGUAUGAGAGGAUGAUCAGCCACACGGUAAGUGAGACACGGUCCAGACUCCUGCGGUGGGCAGCAGUGGGGAAUAUUACGCGAGGGGCGAGAGCCUGAUACAGCAAUACCGCGUGGGUGAUGAAGGCCUUCGGGUUGGAGAGCCAUGUUGUUGGGAAAGAAGAAAAGCUGUUUUAUACCGCGCGGUUCUGACGGUACCCAAAGAAUAAGCACCGGCUAACUUCGUG